RNAcentral lists this ribosomal RNA (301 nucleotides) under uncultured bacterium. Its description in RNAcentral is "partial 16S ribosomal RNA". It matches the Rfam family "Bacterial small subunit ribosomal RNA", at positions 509 to 809 of the family's 1533-position model. The record is from RNAcentral.
CAGCCGCCACGGUAAUACAGAGGGUGCGAGCGUUAAUCGGAUUUACUGGGCGUAAAGCGUGCGUAGGCGGCUAAUUGAGUCGGAUGUGAAAUCCCCGAGCUUAACUUGGGAAUUGCAUUCGAUACUGGUUAGCUAGAGUGUGGGAGAGGAUGGUAGAAUUCCAGGUGUAGCGGUGAAAUGCGUAGAGAUCUGGAGGAAUACCGAUGGCGAAGGCAGCCAUCUGGCCUAACACUGACGCUGAGGUACGAAAGCAUGGGGAGCAAACAGGAUUAGAUACCCCGGUAGUCCCUGUCUCUUAUCC